RNAcentral lists this transfer RNA (65 nucleotides) under Brookesia decaryi (spiny leaf chameleon). RNAcentral describes it as "tRNA-Val". The record is from RNAcentral. Lineage: Eukaryota; Metazoa; Chordata; Lepidosauria; Squamata; Chamaeleonidae.
CAAAAAGUAGCUUAUUUCAAAGCAUUCAACCUACAACUGAAAAAUGUUGGGACCAACCUUUUUGA